This is an unclassified non-coding RNA of Pongo abelii (Sumatran orangutan), 148 nucleotides long. It matches the Rfam family "Metazoan signal recognition particle RNA". From Rfam's summary of the family: The signal recognition particle (SRP) is a universally conserved ribonucleoprotein. It is involved in the co-translational targeting of proteins to membranes. The record is from Ensembl. Lineage: Eukaryota; Metazoa; Chordata; Mammalia; Primates; Hominidae.
GCCAGGCUUGGUGGUGCUCACCUGUAGUCCCAGCUACUCGGGAGGCUGAGGUAGGAGGAUUGCUUGAGCCCAGGAGGGCAGGGCUGCAGUGAGCUGAGAUCAUGCCACUGCACUCCAACCUGGGCAACAGAGCAAGAACCUGUCUUUA